GGAGAGUUGUCCGAGAGGUCGAAGGUGCGACACUCGAAAUGUCGUGUUCCCAAAAGGAACCUAGGGUUCGAAUCCCUAACUCUCCGCCA
RNAcentral lists this transfer RNA (89 nucleotides) under Ruminococcus sp. RNAcentral describes it as "tRNA-Ser". It matches the Rfam family "tRNA". From Rfam's summary of the family: Transfer RNA (tRNA) molecules are approximately 80 nucleotides in length. Their secondary structure includes four short double-helical elements and three loops (D, anti-codon, and T loops). Lineage: Bacteria; Bacillati; Bacillota; Clostridia; Eubacteriales; Oscillospiraceae. RNAcentral also lists the same sequence under 19 other names. The record is from RNAcentral.